UACGAAGGGUGCUAGCGUUGUUCGGAAUUACUGGGCGUAAAGGGCGCGUAGGCGGUUUAAUAAGUUGGGUGUGAAAUCCCCAGGCUCAACCUGGGAACUGCACUCAAAACUGUUUUACUUGAAUUCGGUAGAGGAUGGUGGAAUUCCCAGUGUAGAGGUGAAAUUCGUAGAUAUUGGGAAGAAUAUCCGUGGCGAAGGCGGCCAUCUGGACCGACAUUGACGCUGAGGCGCGAAAGCGUGGGGAGCAAACAGG
RNAcentral lists this ribosomal RNA (253 nucleotides) under uncultured bacterium. Its description in RNAcentral is "partial 16S ribosomal RNA". It matches the Rfam family "Bacterial small subunit ribosomal RNA", at positions 524 to 776 of the family's 1533-position model. The record is from RNAcentral.